Molecule: ribosomal RNA, 253 nt
Filed under: uncultured bacterium
Lineage: Bacteria
Description: partial 16S ribosomal RNA
Rfam family: Bacterial small subunit ribosomal RNA
Source: RNAcentral
UACGUAGGUGACAAGCGUUGUCCGGAUUUACUGGGCGUAAGGAGCGCGCAGGCGGUCGUUCAAGUCGAGUGUGAAAGCCCCCGGCUCAACUGGGGAGGGUCACUCGAUACUGAUCGACUCGAAGGCAGGAGAGGGAAGUGGAAUUCCCGGUGUAGUGGUGAAAUGCGUAGAUAUCGGGAGGAACACCAGUGGCGAAGGCGGCCCGCUGGGCAGUGGCUGACGCUGAGGCGCGACAGCGUGGGGAGCAAACAGG